ACAAUAUGAAAAACAUCAACCAACCCUUCAAUUCUAUUGAACCAUUUUAUAUAUAUAUAUAAAAAUUAUUAUGCUAGAACUAGUAACAAGAAAUUGACUUUCUCCUAGAUGUAAACUUAGCCCAAGUUGGACCCCCCAUUGGAAAUUAACGUAUUUAUAAAAAUUAUAGCACACCCAACUAGAAAACCCUAUAAUAAUUAACGUUCAUCUAACACCAGAACAUCAAAGGAAAGAUUUAAAGAGGGAGAAGGAACUCGGCAAAUUUUAACGGCCCCGCCUGUUUACCAAAAACAUCGCCUUCUGCUAACACAUAGAAGGUCCAGCCUGCCCAGUGACAUAGUUUAACGGCCGCGGUACCCUAACCGUGCGAAGGUAGCAUAAUCACUUGUUCUCUAAAUAGGGACUUGUAUCAACGGCAUCACGAGGGCUACACUGUCUCCUCCCUCAAAUCAGUGAAACUGAUCUCCCCGUGAAGAAGCGGGGAUAAAUUUAUAAGACGAGAAGACCCCAUGGAGCUUAAAACUCAAUGUAUACCCAUAGAUAACUAAACCCGUUUAAUCUAGAAAAUUAUAUAUUAGUUUUAGGCUGGGGGGGCCGCGGAGCAAAACCUAACCUCCACGACAAACAGGUUAAUAUCCUUAUCCACGAACUACACCUCUAAGAAUCAGUAAACUGAUGUACCAUGACCCAUUAUAUGAUCAACGAACCAAGUUACCCUGGGGAUAACAGCGCAAUCUACUUUGAGAGCCCAUAUCGACAAGUAGGUUUACGACCUCGAUGUUGGAUCAGGAAAUCCCAGUGGUGCAGCCGCUACUA
RNAcentral lists this ribosomal RNA (816 nucleotides) under Amolops larutensis (Larut sucker frog). RNAcentral's name for it is "partial small subunit ribosomal RNA". It matches the Rfam family "Bacterial large subunit ribosomal RNA", at positions 1512 to 2567 of the family's 2925-position model. Lineage: Eukaryota; Metazoa; Chordata; Amphibia; Anura; Ranidae. The record is from RNAcentral.